UAACGGCGAGUGAAGCGGCAAAAGCUCAAAUUUGAAAUCUGACCUUUGGUCCGAGUUGUAAUUUGUAGAGGAUGUUUCGGGCAAGAUCCGGGCUUAAGUUCCUUGGAACAGGACGUCAUAGAGGGUGAGAAUCCCGUACGUGGUCCAGGGUCGCGCCCAUGUGAAACUCCUUCGACGAGUCGAGUUGUUUGGGAAUGCAGCUCAAAAUGGGUGGUAAAUUUCAUCUAAAGCUAAAUAUUGGCCAGAGACCGAUAGCGCACAAGUAGAGUGAUCGAAAGAUGAAAAGCACUUUGAAAAGAGAGUUAAACAGCAUGUGAAAUUGUUGAAAGGGAAGCGCUUGCGACCAGACUUGUUUGUAGGGUUCAGCCGUCGUUCUCGUCGGUGUAUUUCCCUAUCUACAGGCCAGCAUCAGUUCGGACGGAAGGUUAAAGGCCUUGGGAAUGUAGCAUCUUCCGGGAUGUCUUAUAGCCCUCGGUGUAAUGCUUCCUGCCCGGACUGAGGAACGCGCUUCGGCUCGGAUGCUGGCGUAAUGGUUCUAAGCGACCCGUCUUGAAACACGGACCAAGGAGUCUAACAUCUAUGCGAGUAUUUGGGUGUCAAACCCAUAUGCGCAAUGAAAGUGAACGGAGGUGGGAAUCUUCGGAUGCACCAUCGACCGAUCCUGAUGUCUUCGGAUGGAUUUGAGUAAGAGCAUAGCUGUUGGGACCCGAAAGAUGGUGAACUAUGCCUGAAUAGGGUGAAGCCAGAGGAAACUCUGGUGGAGGCUCGCAGCGGUUCUGACGUGCAAAUCGAUCGUCAAAUUUGGGCAUAGGGGCGAAAGACUAAUCGAACUAUCUGGUAGCUGG
Molecule: ribosomal RNA, 845 nt
Filed under: Gamsomyces longisporus
Lineage: Eukaryota; Fungi; Ascomycota; Eurotiomycetes; Sclerococcales
Description: Bactrodesmium longisporum partial large subunit ribosomal RNA
Rfam family: Eukaryotic large subunit ribosomal RNA
Source: RNAcentral